Onychostruthus taczanowskii (white-rumped snowfinch) is the source of this 3886-nucleotide RNA transcript. It is a transcript of the gene named shisa family member 5, with no coding region annotated. Lineage: Eukaryota; Metazoa; Chordata; Aves; Passeriformes; Passeridae. The transcript is spliced from 10 exons. The record is from RefSeq and is a predicted model, not a curated record.
UAGUGCUUGUGUCUGUGUGAACAUUUGGAUAGAGGUGCUUAGUGAAGAUGAGCUACUCUCUGUGUAAGAAGUCUCCUGAUGCAGAAGACCCUCUGGAAACUGUAAAGAAGAUCGCAGAGAAAAUGAGGAAACUGGCAUCCACCAACUGGAUCUCUGACUCGGACAUUUUUCAGGAUCCUGAUUUAGACUUUUCUGGCCCCAGUUUUGGAACCCUCAUUGCCAUUGGAGUUACUGUUUUUGCAGUGAUUGUCGUUACUAUUAUUCUGUGCCUCACCUGUUCCUGUUGCUGUCUGUACAAAGCAUGUCGAAGACCACGCCCUGUGGUGACCACUGCCACCACGACGGUGGUUCACUCUGCCUAUCCCCAGCAGCCAGCAAUGCCACCCAGCUACCCAGCAGCUCCCUAUCAAGGCUACCAGCCCGUGGCUGUGCAGCCCCAGCCGGGGAUGCCGGUGGCUCCCUACCCUGCCCAGUACCCUCCCCCGUACCCCACGCAGCCGGCAGGACCCCCAGCUUACCAUGAAACUGUGGCAGCUGGUGCUGGAGCCCCUUACCCCACCCAGCCCCCUUACAACCCUGCUUACAUGGAUCCUCAGAAGCCCACCUAUUGAAAAGCUUCUACUGUGCUUCUGCAUACAAAACUUUUAAAAAUAUAAUUUGUUCUGUUUACACCAUUCACCUGUACUAUAUUUUUCUGGAAGACAACAAUCUUUUGUUAAAGUAGAGUGAAAAUCAAUUAAUUAUCUUCUUUUUUUUUAAUGCUCCAAGGAAGGAGUAUUUUUCUUGCAGAAGUUAAUUUAUACCUCAAGCAAAUACAAAAAGAGAUUUUGCUCUAGAUACAAUGAGAGUAACGAGAAGAAAGAGUAUUUCUGAAAUACAGAACCACAAUACCAUUUGCUGUGCAAUAAUUUUGAGAGGAGUGGUCUAAUAUUGAGCUUUGUCAAAUACCAAAAGCUGUAGCAAUCUUUUGCACAGUAUUAAAAUGUAAAAUUUUAACCUCUGAGAAACUACCUGAUACGUGUUAUGUAAGUUCUGCCUGUUUUGAAGCUACUAUUGUUAGCUCGUGUUACUGAACGUCCUUCAGGUCACCUUGUAUCAUUAAUAUCACUUCUGGUGGUGAAGACUGGAGCCAAACCAAAAUUACAAAUCACAGCAUAAAGCAAGGACAGUGUAUGCUGCUGAGUGAUCCUCUGAUGGGCUGCUGCCAAGCAAGUCCAAAAGGAUUGAUUCUAAGGAAGUCUGUAAAUUCAUUAAAAAUACCUUCUCCCUUCUCAGCCUGUUUAAACUUGGGUGGUAAGUAUUGUGCCUCAUUCAUCAAAUCGACCAAUUCAGCAUGAGGUAAGUGAUGCUUUCUACUCUGAAAAUGUUUUUGCUAAAGUGUUUGUGUAUUUUAUAGUUUUGAUAAAAAUGUUUUAGAAGGGUUGUAGUCACACCCCUGACUCAUUAGUCUUUCACUUGAAAAUAUUUUUUUGAGAAGGUCAGGAGUAUUCUUUAUAUGACACCACACAGCAGUGAAUUGUUUAGUGUAUAAGCAUUAUUACCUUGAAUUGCCAGCUACAUCCUAAUGUAGCAUUUAAAAGAAAAACAAAGGGAGACACAGAAAUUUUUUAAAAACCCACUAACACCCAAUCAAAACCCCAUAAUAAUUGGGUAGUUUUGUAGUAUUACUCUUUGAUUUUGUUGGAGUCUCAGCUGCAGGCUGAUAAUGUGUUGGAGGUGCAAUAUAAAUAAUUUCACUUCCAGUUUUAUUUCACAAUUUCUCUUAGUUGACUGGGGGCAGCAGACAAAAUGCAUGCUCCUAAAAGCCUAAAUCUAGAAAACAUAUAAUUAAUGUUUAUGCUAGAAAUGACACCAGGAAAUUUCAGUUAUUUGUGAAGAUUUUGUUGACAUUGCUUUUUAGUUCAUCUAUUUCUCUUUUCCCAUGAAUUUUAGCAGGUGCACCUGUUAAGGUUUGAGAAGUGACAGGCAGAGAAAAGCUCAGAGGAAAGCUGUGUGCCUUCCCCUCUCUGUGCACACAGGGCUGAGGAGCAGAACCUGGGUUUUGAUGAAAACCUGCAGAUUCCCUUAAGGAGCACAUAGGGUUUCAAAGAUACCUUCACCCUUUAUUUUUGCAGCUAAGGGUUGUAUAGGAGGGCAAAUGGCUGAACUGACAAGGUGGGAGCCCAGGGUUAGGUGAGGAAUAUUGCUGGUUAUGUUUUCAUAAUGUUUAAUCAGCAGUUGUGUAUGGUAGUGUGAAUUUUUCCAGAACUAAACUUGGCAUGCAUUUAAAACUCAUGGCAGGGUUGUGUGGGAAGGGCUGGACACACAGGAGGGAAAAACUUCAAUUACUGCCAAACAACCAAUUCUUGCCUGUUUUAUUUUUUAUAAGUAUGGAAACUCAGUAUCAUAGUACUUGUAAUAACUCACCAGAUUGGCUUUAGCCAGUGGUUUGGGGCCUGUUUUUUUUCUCUCUGAUUAUUAUUUGACCUUAUCUAGUUGUUUUUGCAGCCUGUACCACAGGAACCUGGUCAGAUUUACAGCUUUUCAGUGAGUCAUGUAGGAGGGGGGAAACAUGCACAAGUUAAACUUGAAAGUCUUUACCUGAAUGAGAGCAGAGCUGAGCAACCAGCAGAUGGUGCUGGGCAAGAGCACACAGGAGUCUCACAGUCAGGAGCACGGCAGGCACGGGCGUCUCGGGCCGCAGACAGCGCUGCAGCGCCUGGCUCCUCAUUCUGAAGUCGUGUUCUUAAUUCAUUCAUUUCUGCAUCCUUGAACUGCAGCUCGGAGUGCAGCGACUGUAACUGAAAGAGGAGUUCAGGGCAGUUUUACUGUUACCAGUUCAGAAGAGCUGCAACUGCAGAGCAACUGAGUUACCAGAGAGCUGGAGAUCACCAUCUGCUUACUGUAAACUCCAAGAUCUCAAUUUUUAGGAAUGUUAGCCCAGUAAGCACUCAGAGCCAAGUGCCAGGAGUUGAGGCAAGAAGCCUUUGUGAGUGGCUAAGACAGAGCAAGUGCCACGCAGAGCAUGGCUCCAGUGAGGCUGCAGAGCCAGCUGGGCAAAAGCAGCCACUCUCCAGGGAUGCACAGAGAUGACUGCAACAAGAACAGCCAUCUGAUCAGAGCCACCAAGCAUCUUCUGUCACUUCUUCCCACUCUAACAUACAUUCCACUUGCAAGGUUCUCGGGAUGGCUUCAAAAAAGCAAUAAGUAAAUGAAAACCUCUACCACCUGAAUUUCACUCCUUUAUUUUGGCAGGGGAAAACCCUCAACAAGUUCUUUCAAAUGUUUUCUUCUAAGUAAGAAAAUAAAAUCAAGCAUUGUGGAAAUUUCACACAAAUUAUGUUCUUCCUUUGACAAAAUAGUCUGUGACAUUAAGUCAUAAACCAGCAUCUGAAUGGGAUCUGCAGUACUACAUCCAUCAGCUCAGCCAACAGGCACUCUAAGACAAGGUACCACCCCCAGAAUCUUCACGACAUUGAGUCUCUCAUACUUCCUGAGCAGCCACUACCACUCAGAGACAAGACUUUGGGGAGACAAUGAAGAAGUUACUCAGAAAAACAAGAAGAAAAGAUCAGGAAGACACUUCUCUACAACUGUGAAAUUAGGAUUUAAUAUGGGAUACAGUGGGAGAUUCCCUGAUAAAGGUGGAUAUAACAGAGCUGGGAAAGAUACAGAGAAUGGAGAAAGGGAAACAGAGUAUCUUUCCAUAAAUGACCACCCCAAGGUAAAGUAACAUAAAGUCACUUGAAAGUCAUGUCACUUUCUCAAACCUUUUCAGUUAAGCAAAACGACUCUGGCUGACAGGGCAGAGAAAUUAUUUGAUAGGGAACAAAUAAAACUGAAAAAUUAGCAUUUGCUAAUCUGAAAUGAUCAAGAAAUAAAAUACUGCUCUCACUCUUUACUAUUA